Non-coding RNA from Pantherophis guttatus, 1076 nucleotides. The record is from RefSeq and is a predicted model, not a curated record. Lineage: Eukaryota; Metazoa; Chordata; Lepidosauria; Squamata; Colubridae.
GGUACCAUGUGGAAGAGGAGGAGGGAGACUGACUGGCGGACAAUGGAGCCUGUGUGUGUUUAUGGGAAGGGAGCGAAUUCACCCUCGCCGGGGAGAGUCACAGCGCCGCCCCCUCCUGCCCGGGGGUGAGGGGUGCCCCCUGGCCGGGCCAGGCCAGGCCACCUCCGCCCUUGUUCAGGAGAGCAGUGAGUGUGAGAAGGAGAAGCAGAGGAGGCUCUGCAUGGUGCCAGCUCCCCUGGAAACUGCGGGCCAUGGGAGAUUACUGAAUUCUGGAGUUUGUCAGAUGAACUAUCCAAAGAAAUCCAGAACUGAUGCUGUAACUUGUCUAAUACUCUGAUCAUGAGAAUCUUUAUAUAUAUGCAGAGGGAUUCUGAACCCUUCUCCUGGUUGAUCAGCAUAAUGUCGUGACACUGGAGUUUUGUGUCACUUCAGCCCAGUGUCUACGAAUCCGGCAGAAUACAACAACAACAAUUAUAUUGUAGGGACUUAGUUUUAUAGGUAGGAAAACUGUUUAUUUCAUUAAAUAACGGGGGGAAUGGGAAGUGCUGCCCUAUAUUAUGUUUUGGUUAGCAUUUCUAAUGUCACUGUUGUCUGUAUCAUUAUCUUUAUAACCUGCUUUGGUUUUUGAUUGUCUUGUAUCCUGAAUCAUAACCAAUUCCAGUGGCAAUGUAAUCAAGCAUAUUAUAAAUGGGGGCAGAGCAUAUCUAGUAUAAAAACUUUAUAUGCCCAUUUUGUCUAGAUAGUCUUAUACUUUGAAUUCUAAAUAAUCCUUACUAGUCUAAUUAGUUGUAGGAGAAAGACUUGCAGAGCCAGAGAGAAAAGUGAAAAGAGGGCUUAGUUUAGAUUUGUUACCUAGCCACAAGCAAAUUAAGAACCUUGAAUGCCAUUGAUCCUUAUCUAACUCUAACCAGGGGCUGAUCAUUAAUUGGGAAGAUUCCUCAGCAUAGACUUUUAGAAUUAAAUCAGUUAAUUUGAACCUUCACAUGUGAACUUGGUUGUUCAUGGCUUACAUUGGUGGAUGUUAAUGUAUUUUGCCAAAUAUAUUGAAUGAAAGAGAUGUCAGCGUAUACCUGGCC